Molecule: ribosomal RNA, 412 nt
Filed under: uncultured microorganism
Description: bacterial SSU rRNA
Rfam family: Archaeal small subunit ribosomal RNA
Source: RNAcentral
GCGCAGCAGGCGCGAAACCUCCGCAAUACACGAAAGUGUGACGGGGCCAUCCCAAGUGCCGUCCGCUGAGGACGGCUUUUCCCCAGUGUACACAGCUGGGGGAAUAAGGAGAGGGCAAGCCUGGUGUCAGCCGCCGCGGUAAUACCAGCUCUCCGAGUGGUGGGGACGCUUAUUGGGCCUAAAGCAUCCGUAGCCGGCUGGGCAAGUCCUCCGUUAAAUCCAACGAUUCAAUCGUUGGGCUGCGGGGGAUACUGUCCAGCUUGGGGGCGGGAGAGGCCGACGGUAUUCCCGGGGUAGGGGUGAAAUCCUAUAAUCCCGGGAGGACCACCAGUGGCGAAGGCUGUCGGCUAGAACGCGCCCGUCGGUGAGGGAUGAAAGCUGGGGGAGCGAACCGGAUUAGAUACCCGGGUAG